This 2896-nucleotide ribosomal RNA is filed under the name Clostridioides difficile. RNAcentral's name for it is "bacterial LSU rRNA". It matches the Rfam family "Bacterial large subunit ribosomal RNA". The record is from RNAcentral. Lineage: Bacteria; Bacillati; Bacillota; Clostridia; Peptostreptococcales; Peptostreptococcaceae.
UCAAGUUAUUAAGGGUGCAGGGCGGAUGCCUUGGCACUAGGAGCCGAUGAAGGACGUGAUAAGCUGCGAUAAGCUUCGGGGAGUUGCACGUAAACUUUGAUCCGAAGAUUUCCGAAUGAGGAAACUCACUUAGAGUAAUGUCUAAGUAUCAUUAAGUGAAUACAUAGCUUAAUGAGGGGAACUCAGGGAACUGAAACAUCUAAGUACCUGAAGGAAGAGAAAGAAAUUCGAUUCCGUAAGUAGCGGCGAGCGAACGCGGAUUAGCCCAAACCAAUAAAGUUUUCUUUAUUGGGGUUGCGGACAUAUCAUAACGAAGAGGUAUCGUAAUUGAAGAGGUUUGGAAAGACCCACCACAGAAGGUAAUAGUCCUGUAUGUUAAACGAGAAGACUUCAGAUAUGAUCCAGAGUACCACGGGACACGUGAAACCCUGUGGGAAGCAGGAGGGACCACCCUCCAAGGCUAAAUACUACCUAGUGACCGAUAGCGUAUAGUACCGUGAGGGAAAGGUGAAAAGAACCCCGGGAGGGGAGUGAAAUAGAACCUGAAACCCUGCACUUACAAGCUGUGGAAGCACAUUUCUUGUGUGACCGCGUACUUUUUGUAGAACGGGCCAACGAGUUACGUUAAGUAGCAAGGUUAAGCACUUAAGGUGCGGAGCCGUAGCGAAAGCGAGUUUUAACUGAGCGUUCAGUUACUUGACGUAGACCCGAAACCGGGCGACCUACCCAUGAGCAGGAUGAAGCGAAAGUAAAAUUUCGUGGAGGUCCGAACCCACGAGCGUUGAAAAGCUCGGGGAUGACUUGUGGGUAGCGGUGAAAUUCCAAUCGAGCCCGGAGAUAGCUGGUUCUCCCCGAAAUAGCUUUAGGGCUAGCCUCAAGGUGAGAGAUACGGAGGUAGAGCACUGAAUGUCCUAGGGGGUAUUGCACCUACCGAAGACUAUCAAACUCCGAAUGCCGUCAUCUUAUACUUGGGAGUCAGACUGUGGGUGAUAAGAUUCAUAGUCGAAAGGGCAACAGCCCAGAUCGUCAGCUAAGGUCCCUAAAUGUAAGUUAAGUGGUAAAGGAUGUGGGAUUGCACAGACAACCAGGAUGUUGGCUUAGAAGCAGCCACUCAUUCAAAGAGUGCGUAAUAGCUCACUGGUCGAGUGAUCCUGCGCCGAAGAUUUCCGGGGCUAAAACUUACUACCGAAGCUACGGCAUCAGUAAUGAUGGGUAGGGGAGCUUCCCAUACGGGUUGAAGCAUGACCGUAAGGACAUGUGGACAGUAUGGGAGUGAGAAUGUUGGCAUGAGUAGCGAGAUGUGGGUGAGAAUCCCACAGGCCGUAAACCCAAGGUUUCCAGGGGAAGGUUCGUCCGCCCUGGGUUAGUCGGGACCUAAGCUGAGGCCGAAAGGCGUAGGUGAUGGACAACAGGUUGAUAUUCCUGUACUACCGAUAACCGUUUGAGAGAAGGGAUGACACAGUAGGAUAAGCUAAGCACACUGUUGGUUAUGUGUGCCCAAGCAUUGAGGCAGUCAAAGUAGGCAAAUCCGCUUUGAUAAUGCUGGGAUGUGAUGGGGAGCGAAAUUUAGUAGCGAAGUAGCUGAUUUCACACUGUCAAGAAAAGUCUCUAUCGAGGUUAAAGGUACCCGUACCGCAAACCGACACAGGUGGGUGAGGAGAGUAUCCUAAGGCCAGCGAGAGAACUGUUGUUAAGGAACUCGGCAAAAUGACCCCGUAACUUAGGGAUAAGGGGUGCCACCAUCAGGUGGCCGCAGAGAAUAGGCCCAAGCGACUGUUUACCAAAAACAUAGGUUUCUGCUAAGUCGCAAGACGAUGUAUAGGAGCUGACGCCUGCCCGGUGCUGGAAGGUUAAGGGGAUCUGUUAGAGCAAUCGAAGCAGUGAACUUAAGCCCCAGUAAACGGCGGCCGUAACUAUAACGGUCCUAAGGUAGCGAAAUUCCUUGUCGGGUAAGUUCCGACCCGCACGAAAGGCGUAACGAUUUGGGCACUGUCUCAACAACAGACUCGGUGAAAUUGUAAUUCCGGUGAAGAUGCCGGAUACCUGCGACAGGACGGAAAGACCCCAUGGAGCUUUACUGUAGCUUGACAUUGGGUCUUGGUACUACAUGUACAGGAUAGGUGGGAGGCUUUGAAACCAGGACGCCAGUUUUGGCGGAGCCAUCCUUGGGAUACCACCCUUGUAGUACUGGGACUCUAACCAUAGGCCAUGAAUCUGGUCUUGGGACACUGUCAGGUGGGCAGUUUGACUGGGGCGGUCGCCUCCCAAAAGGUAACGGAGGCGCUCAAAGGUUCUCUCAGUACGGUCGGAAAUCGUACGUAGAGUGUAAAGGCAAAAGAGAGCUUGAUUGCAAGACAUACAGGUCGAGCAAGGAUGAAAAUCGGACUUAGUGAUCCGGUGGUUCUGCGUGGAAGGGCCAUCGCUCAACGGAUAAAAGCUACCCUGGGGAUAACAGGCUUAUCUCCCCCAAGAGUCCACAUCGACGGGGAGGUUUGGCACCUCGAUGUCGGCUCAUCACAUCCUGGGGCUGUAGUAGGUCCCAAGGGUUGGGCUGUUCGCCCAUUAAAGUGGUACGCGAGCUGGGUUCAGAACGUCGUGAGACAGUUCGGUCCCUAUCCGUCGCAGGCGUAGGAAAUUUGAGAAGACCUGUCCUUAGUACGAGAGGACCGGGAUGGACGUACCUCUGGUGUACCAGUUGUUCUGCCAAGGGCAUGGCUGGGUAGCUAUGUACGGAAUGGAUAAGCGCUGAAAGCAUCUAAGCGCGAAGCCAACUUCAAGAUAAGAUUUCCCACCGCAAGGGUAAGACCCCAGAAAGACUAUCUGGUUGAUAGGUCGAAGGUGUAAGUGCAGCAAUGUAUUUAGCUUAUCGAUACUAAUAGGUCGAGGACUUGACCAA